Molecule: long non-coding RNA, 381 nt
Organism: Sander lucioperca (pikeperch)
Lineage: Eukaryota; Metazoa; Chordata; Actinopteri; Perciformes; Percidae
Exons: 3
Source: RefSeq, a predicted model, not a curated record
UGGUAUAUAAAGGAGCUGCUUAUCAAAGAGAAACCAUGAUUCACUACUGGAAAUCAAAAACACUCAUCAUAUCUGACUUUACAUACUAAGACAUCAGCACUUCAUUCUGAAAGUAGUUAUAUUUCAUGUAAAUGUGGGUGCAUCGCAAAACGAUAGCCACACCUGUAAUGUACGAAACAUUAGGCACAUCUUUCUCAAUCGGCAGCCUCAAUCAGAAUCAAAAGAACACACUGACAGUUUAAACCAACUGAGGUUAAUGCGGUAAAUAUUUGGACCAUCAUUAGAAAGAUUAAGCCUUGAGAACAAACGUAAGAAAAUCUCCAGACUAUAUGUGGACAAAGUUCCCCAUACGGUGAAAAUACACCCGCUCUUACCUGAAGC